Molecule: ribosomal RNA, 486 nt
Filed under: uncultured bacterium
Lineage: Bacteria
Description: partial 16S ribosomal RNA
Rfam family: Bacterial small subunit ribosomal RNA
Source: RNAcentral
AUUGAACGCUGGCGGCAUGCCUUACACAUGCAAGUCGAACGGCAGCGCGGACUUCGGUCUGGCGGCGAGUGGCGAACGGGUGAGUAAUACAUCGGAACGUACCCUGUUGUGGGGGAUAGCUAGUCGAAAGAUUAGCUAAUACCGCAUACGACCUGAGGGUGAAAGUGGGGGACCGGAAACGGCCUCAUGCAGCAGGAGCGGCCGAUGUCUGAUUAGCUAGUUGGUGGGGUAAAGGCCCACCAAGGCGACGAUCAGUAGCUGGUCUGAGAGGACGAUCAGCCACACUGGGACUGAGACACGGCCCAGACUCCUACGGGAGGCAGCAGUGGGGAAUUUUGGACAAUGGGGGCAACCCUGGUCCAGCAAUGCCGCGUGUGUGAAGAAGGCCUUCGGGUUGUAAAGCACUUUUGUCCGGAAAGAAAUCGCGCUGGUUAAUACCUGGCGUGGAUGACGGUACCGGAAGAAUAAGCACCGGCUAACUACGUG